UCAAAGAUUAAGCCAUGCAUGUCUAAGUUCAAGCCCCAGAAUGGUGAAACUGCGAAUGGCUCAUUAUUNCAGUUGUUGUUUAUUAGGAUGUGACGGUUUACUUGGAUAACUGUGGUAAUCCUANNGCUAAUACAUGCCAAUGGGCCUUCCCGCAAGGGACGCCCGCAUUUAUUAGACAAAACCAACCUGCGGCAUUGCGCCGGGGUAGUCACAAAAGUGUUGAACACUGAAUAACUCUGUCCGAUCGCUCAGCCCAUAAAUGGCGGCGACGAUCCUUUCAAGUGUCUGCUCUAUCAACUUUAGAUGGUAGGUUAUACGCCUACCAUGGUGAUGACGGGUAACGAAGUAUUUGGGUACGACAUCGGAGAAGGAGCCUGAGAAACGGCUACUACAUCCAAGGAAGGCAGCAGGCGCGUAAAUUACCCAAUCCCGACACGGGGGAGGUAGUGACGAAAAAUAACAAUACGGGACUCUUUAGAGGCUCCGUAAUUGGAAUGAGUACACUCCAAAUCCUUUAACGAGGAUCUAUUGGAGGACAAGUCUAGUGCCAGCACCCGCGAUAAUUCCAGCUCCAAUAGCGUAUAUUAAAAUUGUUGCGGUUAAAAAGCUCGUAGUCGGAAUUAAACGUGUCUUGCGAAAACAGGCAUCAGAAUGGUGUCGCCCUUUGCAGGCUCGUUUCUCGGUGGUGCUCUCCGUUUACUUAAUUGUAAUGCGUUGUAGAGCUUACCACCAGAGUCACUUUGAUUAAAUUAGAGUGCUCAAGGCAGGCUAAUAGCCGGCAUACGAACGCAUGGAAUGACGGAAUACGUUGCCGUUCUGUUUGUUGGUUUAGGAUGAUGGCAAGAUGAUCGAUAGGAAUAGACGUGGGCGCUCGUAUUGCGGCGACAGAGGUGAAAUUCUUGGACCGUCGCAAGACGAACUACAGCGAAAGCAUUCGCCAAGAAUGUUUUCAUUGAUCAAGAACGAAAGUUAGAGGUUCGAAGGCGAUCAGAUACCGCCCUAGUUUUGACCAUAAACGAUGCCAACUAGCAAUCCGCCCGAGUUCUUAUAACGACUCGGCGGGCAACUUCGGGAAACCAAAGUCAGGUUCCGGGGGAAGUAUGGUUGCAAAGCUGAAACUUAAAGGAAUUGACGGAGGCGCACCACCAGCAAUGGAGUGUGCGGCUCAAUUUGACUCAACACUGGAAAUCUUACCCGGCCCGGACACUGGAAUGAUUGACAGAUUGAUAGCUCUUUCUUGAUUCGGUGGAUAGUGGUGCAUGGCCGUUCUUAGUUCGUGGAGCGAUCCGUCAGGUUAAUUCUGGUAACGGACGAGACUCUAGCCUAUUAAAUAGACGUGAUGGUUGAUCUUCUCAUCACGUUCUUCUUAGAGGGACAAGGUGCUUUUAGCACCGCGAAGCAGAGCAAUAACAGGUCUUGAAUGCCCUUAGAUGUCCGGGGCCGCACGCGCGCUACACUGAAGGAAGUAGCGUGCAAAUAUCCUUGCCUAAAAUGGCUGGGUAACCAUUGAACUUUCUUCAUGAUUGGGAUAGAGGCUUGCAAUUAUCCCUCUUGAACGAGGAACUGCUAGUAAGCGCCUGUCAUCAGCGGGUGCUGACUACGUCCCUGCGCUUUGUGCACACCGCCCGUCGCUACCUCCGAUUGAAUGGUUCAGUGAGGCUUGCCGACCAGUCCUUUGAACGGCCUUUUACGGGCUGUACUUACGGAUAGGAAAGCUGGCCAAACUCGAUCAUUUAGAGGAGGUAAAAGUCGUAACAAGGUGGCCGUAGGUGANCUUGNNGGAA
Molecule: ribosomal RNA, 1784 nt
Filed under: Uropodella laciniata
Lineage: Eukaryota; Metazoa; Arthropoda; Arachnida; Mesostigmata; Uropodellidae
Description: SSU rRNA
Rfam family: Eukaryotic small subunit ribosomal RNA
Source: RNAcentral